GAUGAACGCUGGCGGCGUGCCUAAUACAUGCAAGUCGAGCGAACGGACGAGAAGCUUGCUUCUCUGAUGUUAGCGGCGGACGGGUGAGUAACACGUGGAUAACCUACCUAUAAGACUGGGAUAACUUCGGGAAACCGUAGCUAAUACCGGAUAAUAUUUUGAACCGCAUGGUUCAAAAGUGAAAGACUGUCUUGCUGUCACUUAUAGAUGGAUCCGCGCUGCAUUAGCUAGUUGGUAAGGUAACGGCUUACCAAGGCAACGAUGCAUAGCCGACCUGAGAGGGUGAUCGGCCACACUGGAACUGAGACACGGUCCAGACUCCUACGGGAGGCAGCAGUAGGGAAUCUUCCGCAAUGGGCGAAAGCCUGACGGAGCAACGCCGCGUGAGUGAUGAAGGUCUUCGGAUCGUAAAACUCUGUUAUUAGGGAAGAACAUAUGUGUAAGUAACUGUGCACAUCUUGACGGUACCUAAUCAGAAAGCCACGGCUAACUACGUG
RNAcentral lists this ribosomal RNA (497 nucleotides) under uncultured bacterium. Its description in RNAcentral is "partial 16S ribosomal RNA". It matches the Rfam family "Bacterial small subunit ribosomal RNA", at positions 28 to 507 of the family's 1533-position model. The record is from RNAcentral.